This 202-nucleotide long non-coding RNA is filed under the name Gossypium raimondii (Peruvian cotton). Its description in RNAcentral is "long non-coding RNA (GRAI_LNC007542)". Lineage: Eukaryota; Viridiplantae; Streptophyta; Magnoliopsida; Malvales; Malvaceae. The record is from RNAcentral.
AACAAAUAACAAAUGGAACAAAAAGAAAAGAAAAAAAUAUGAAAAAAGAAAUGGGAAAAGAACGCCAAACUAAAAAACCUUUUUCAAAAUUUAAAAGUAAUUCUUUAAAAAUUAAAAAGCAAAACCAAAAUAAAAUAAUUCUUCAAAACACACAUAAGGACUCAAACCUGGAACCCAAAGGUAAACUAACACACUCACCACC